RNAcentral lists this long non-coding RNA (1016 nucleotides) under Phoenix dactylifera (date palm). RNAcentral describes it as "long non-coding RNA (PDAC_LNC016353)". The record is from RNAcentral. Lineage: Eukaryota; Viridiplantae; Streptophyta; Magnoliopsida; Arecales; Arecaceae.
UUUCUCAUAGAUACUUUGGAAAGUGAAUAAUGGCAUCAUGCUAAAUCAAACUCAUGAUCAUGCUGAAAACUUUAUUUUUUCCAUGCAUCUUUCUACAUCAUCAUAAUCAUGUGUACAUAAUAUAAUAAUAAUAAUAAUGAUAGAUGCUAUGUAUCUAAAAUCAUGUAAUCAUUUGCUAACACAUGCUUGAUCUUAAUUUUGUGAAAAUAUAAAUAAUCAUAUACAAUUUCAUAAUCAAGUAAUCACAAGUAUUUGAUAAAAUAUAAGAUUAUAUCAGGUACUUUUUCCACAAUUCUUAUACAUAAUUCCAAUUGCAUAAAUAAUACUUUUUCAUCUUAUAAAACAUGAUAUAUGAUCCAUAAUAAGAUUAAGACAGGUUACUUACCUUAAUUUGCCCAUCAACCUUAGGUUUGGGUGCCGAUUCUUCAAUUACCUAAUAACAUUAUCAAAUUACUUGUUAAUUGCAUGUUCAACAUCAUUUAUUUACAUUCUUUCUUAAUUAACCCGUUUACAAUCCAUUUAUAGGACUCAAUUUUAUUUUCGGGUCCAUAGCCUAAUUUAAUUUUUGGUUCAGGCCCAUGGCCCAAUUAAAUUUCUGGUUCUAGUCUAAUUUACUUCCUAGUUCGGAUUUGAUUUAAUUUCUGGCUCAGGUCUAAUUCAGCUUCUGGUUCAGAUCUGAUUCAACAUCUGAUUCAGGUCUGAUCCAGCUUCUGGUUCAGGUCCAAGCCAAUUCCACUUCUGGCUUAGACCAAAUUGCCCUCUGGUUCAGGUCUGGGCCCAUUUGCAUUCAGGCCCGAUAUUUAAUUGGGUUCUGAAUAAGGCCCUUGGCCUGAUUUAAUUACUGGGCCCACUUAUAUUCAGGCCCAAAAACACUAUUGGUUAAUUUAUAAUUAUACCUUAUCAGUUCUAGUUAAUUUAAAGAGAACCUAGCCUCAAACUAUAUUCAAUAUAGUCGCUAUAUUAAAAUUUGAGCUCUUCAGGCCCAGUUAGUUUUGGUUUUAAGAACACUGGGCUCG